RNAcentral lists this ribosomal RNA (492 nucleotides) under uncultured bacterium. RNAcentral describes it as "partial 16S ribosomal RNA". It matches the Rfam family "Bacterial small subunit ribosomal RNA", at positions 29 to 507 of the family's 1533-position model. The record is from RNAcentral.
AGUGAACGCUGGCGGUAGACCUAACACAUGCAAGUCGAACGGCAGCACAGUAAGAGCUUGCUCUUACGGGUGGCGAGUGGCGGACGGGUGAGGAAUACAUCGGAAUCUACUUUUUCGUGGGGGAUAACGUAGGGAAACUUACGCUAAUACCGCAUACGACCUACGGGUGAAAGCAGGGGAUCUUCGGACCUUGCGCGAUUGAAUGAGCCGAUGUCGGAUUAGCUAGUUGGCGGGGUAAAGGCCCACCAAGGCGACGAUCCGUAGCUGGUCUGAGAGGAUGGUCAGCCACACUGGAACUGAGACACGGUCCAGACUCCUACGGGAGGCAGCAGUGGGGAAUAUUGGACAAUGGGCGCAAGCCUGAUCCAGCCAUACCGCGUGGGUGAAGAAGGCCUUCGGGUUGUAAAGCCCUUUUGUUGGGAAAGAAAAGCAGCAGGUUAAUACCCCGCUGUUCUGACGGUACCCAAAGAAUAAGCACCGGCUAACUUCGUG